UAGAGUUUGAUCCUGGCUCAGGACGAACGCUGGCGGCGUGCCUAAUACAUGCAAGUCGAGCGGAGAUUGCUUGGAAGGAUUUAUCUGGAAAAGCAAUUUUAGCGGCGGACGGGUGAGUAACGCGUGAGCAAUCUGGCCUUUACAGGGGGAUAACACAGGGAAACUUGUACUAAUACCGCAUAUUAUUAUUUAAUCGCAUGAUUGAGUGAUGAAAGUGGAAACACGGUAAAGGGGGAGCUCGCGCUCUAUUAGACAGUUGGUGGGGUAACGGCCUACCAAGUCAACGAUAGAUAGCCGACCUGAGAGGGUGAUCGGCCACACUGGAACUGAGACACGGUCCAGACUUCUACGGAAGGCAGCAGUAGGGAAUAUUGGGCAAUGGGCGAAAGCCUGACCCAGCAACGCCGCGUGAGGGAAGAAGGUUCUCGGAUUGUAAACCUCUAUCCUUGGAGAAGAUAAUGACGGUAGCCAAGAAGGAAGCCCCGGCUAACUACGUGCCAGCAGCCGCGGUAAUACGUAGGGGGCAAGCGUUGUCCGGAAUGAUUGGGCCGUAAAGGGCUCGUAGGCGGCUAAUCAAGUCUGGAGUGAAAGUCCCUGUUUUUAAGGGGGAAUUGGCUUUGGAAACUGAAUAGCUUGGGGGGAAGAAAAGGUUAGUGGGAACUCCCCGGUGUAGCGGGGAAAUGCGAAAAGAUUGGGAAGAAACCCGGGGGGGCAAAGGGGAAUAACUGGA
Molecule: ribosomal RNA, 730 nt
Filed under: uncultured bacterium
Lineage: Bacteria
Description: bacterial SSU rRNA
Rfam family: Bacterial small subunit ribosomal RNA
Source: RNAcentral